GAUGAACGCUGGCGGCGUGCCUAAUACAUGCAAGUCGAGCGAACAGACGAGGAGCUUGCUCCUCUGACGUUAGCGGCGGACGGGUGAGUAACACGUGGAUAACCUACCUAUAAGCCUGGGAUAACUUCGGGAAACCGGAGCUAAUACCGGAUAAUAUAUUGAACCGCAUGGUUCAAUAGUGAAAGACGGUUUUGCUGUCACUUAUAGAUGGAUCCGCGCCGCAUUAGCUAGUUGGUAAGGUAACGGCUUACCAAGGCGACGAUGCGUAGCCGACCUGAGAGGGUGAUCGGCCACACUGGAACUGAGACACGGUCCAGACUCCUACGGGAGGCAGCAGUAGGGAAUCUUCCGCAAUGGGCGAAAGCCUGACGGAGCAACGCCGCGUGAGUGAUGAAGGUCUUCGGAUCGUAAAACUCUGUUAUUAGGGAAGAACAAAUGUGUAAGUAACUAUGCACGUCUUGACGGUACCUAAUCAGAAAGCCACGGCUAACUACGUG
This 497-nucleotide ribosomal RNA is filed under the name uncultured bacterium. RNAcentral's name for it is "partial 16S ribosomal RNA". It matches the Rfam family "Bacterial small subunit ribosomal RNA", at positions 28 to 507 of the family's 1533-position model. The record is from RNAcentral.